RNAcentral lists this ribosomal RNA (236 nucleotides) under uncultured Actinomycetales bacterium. RNAcentral's name for it is "partial 16S ribosomal RNA". It matches the Rfam family "Bacterial small subunit ribosomal RNA", at positions 96 to 334 of the family's 1533-position model. Lineage: Bacteria; Bacillati; Actinomycetota; Actinomycetes; Actinomycetales. The record is from RNAcentral.
UGGCGAACGUGUGAGUAACACGUGGGUAAUCUGCCCUGCACUCUGGGAUAAGCCUGGGAAACUGGGUCUAAUACUGGAUAUGACCUUUCUCCUUAUGGGGUUUGGUGGAAAGUUUUUCGGUGUAGGAUGAGCCCGCGGCCUAUCAGCUUGUUGGUGGGGUGAUGGCCUACCAAGGCGACGACGGGUAGCCGGCCUGAGAGGGUGAUCGGCCACAUUGGGACUGAGAUACGGCCCAG